This 164-nucleotide small RNA is filed under the name bovine gut metagenome. Its description in RNAcentral is "Clostridiales-1 RNA". It matches the Rfam family "Clostridiales-1 RNA". The record is from RNAcentral.
UGAUAAGGUCGAAAAGGUCAUAAUGCGAUCAUGCUUGCAUGAAUCGCAUCAUGACUUUGAGACCCGCCGAACAUGAGGAAGCAGCAAUUUACGUAGUAAAUUAGCGGAUUCCGAAUGUUCGUAGAAUUGCGAGAGUUUCGCAGAAACGGAGCAAUUCGUAUCAU